GAUGCUGCGGCUCCGCGCCCGCUGCGAUCCCGGACGGGGACACGCGUGGGGAAUGAGGGUUUGCGGGGGGUUUCUGGCAGCCCAGGUUUCUCCAAAGUCUUGGGGGCAGAGUGGGGAGAGAGCGAGGCAAAGCGGCUGCCCGGGAGCCUGCGCUUACUUUAGGUGUAAAAGCUGCGCCUCCCAGUGCAGAUGGAUUUUUACAACAGUCAUUCUGAAACUUCAUGGAUCAGAUCUGACGGGGUUUUCUCGACCUCCAGAAGCUCAGCUGUCCCCCCGAGCGGACCCACGUCCAUCAGCCGCAAACCAAAAGAGCCAAAUCCUUUCUUAA
This 328-nucleotide long non-coding RNA is filed under the name Manacus vitellinus (golden-collared manakin). RNAcentral describes it as "lncRNA (ENSMVIG00005013990.1)". Lineage: Eukaryota; Metazoa; Chordata; Aves; Passeriformes; Pipridae. The record is from RNAcentral.